GCUGGGCAUGGUGGCGGGUGCCUGUAGUCCCAGCUACUCUGGAGGCUGAGGCAGGAGAAUCGCUUAAACCCAGGAGAAGGAGGCUGCAGUGAGUGAGCCAAGAUCAUGCCACUGCACUCCAGCCUGGGUGACAGAGCGAGAUUCUGUCUCAA
RNAcentral lists this small RNA (152 nucleotides) under Callithrix jacchus (white-tufted-ear marmoset). RNAcentral describes it as "Metazoan signal recognition particle RNA (ENSCJAG00000053963.2)". Lineage: Eukaryota; Metazoa; Chordata; Mammalia; Primates; Cebidae. The record is from Rfam by way of RNAcentral.